AUUGAACGCUGGCGGCAUGCUUUACACAUGCAAGUCGAACGGCAGCGCGGGCUUCGGUCUGGCGGCGAGUGGCGAACGGGUGAGUAAUAUAUCGGAACGUACCCAAGAGUGGGGGAUAACGUAGCGAAAGUUACGCUAAUACCGCAUACGAUCUAAGGAUGAAAGCAGGGGAUCGCAAGACCUUGUGCUCCUGGAGCGGCCGAUAUCUGAUUAGCUAGUUGGUGGGGUAAAGGCCCACCAAGGCAACGAUCAGUAGCUGGUCUGAGAGGACGACCAGCCACACUGGAACUGAGACACGGUCCAGACUCCUACGGGAGGCAGCAGUGGGGAAUUUUGGACAAUGGGGGGCAACCCUGAUCCAGCAAUGCCGCGUGAGUGAAGAAGGCCUCGGUUGUAAAGACGUCUUUUGUUCUAGGGUAAGAAAAGGGACUAGUGGCUAAUAUCCACAGCUGCUGACGGUACCUGAAGAAUAAG
Molecule: ribosomal RNA, 474 nt
Filed under: uncultured bacterium
Lineage: Bacteria
Description: bacterial SSU rRNA
Rfam family: Bacterial small subunit ribosomal RNA
Source: RNAcentral